RNAcentral lists this transfer RNA (90 nucleotides) under Chloroflexota bacterium. Its description in RNAcentral is "tRNA-Ser". It matches the Rfam family "tRNA". From Rfam's summary of the family: Transfer RNA (tRNA) molecules are approximately 80 nucleotides in length. Their secondary structure includes four short double-helical elements and three loops (D, anti-codon, and T loops). RNAcentral also lists the same sequence under 1 other name. Lineage: Bacteria; Bacillati; Chloroflexota. The record is from RNAcentral.
GGAGGGGUGGCCGAGCGGUUUAAGGCGCCUGUCUUGAAAACAGGUAAUCUCGCAAGGGAUUCGUGGGUUCGAAUCCCACCCCCUCCGCCA